GGUUUUUGAUAAGUAAGGUUGUUGAAAAUGCUUAAGGCAGAAUUUCUGCAUACAUGACAGUAGAAAGAAUCAAUUUCUGGGAGCAUCCCAGGUCAUAUACUUGAAUGAAACUAUUUUUGCAUGAAACUUUACUGUGCUUUGAGAAUCUCAUAAAAAAUUCAGAAUUUAUUGAUGAGUAUUUUGGGAGAAAUGAAUUUUUGAAGAUUGAUGGUUUCUGCAGAAAAUUCUGUUUCUUUACUGCAGAAGCACCAACUUCCAACUCACUUAACUUUCAAUUUUGGUAAGUAUUUGAGCUGAAACCAACGACAUUUUCAAGCUUCCUGUG
This 325-nucleotide long non-coding RNA is filed under the name Arachis ipaensis. RNAcentral describes it as "long non-coding RNA (AIPA_LNC001776)". Lineage: Eukaryota; Viridiplantae; Streptophyta; Magnoliopsida; Fabales; Fabaceae. The record is from RNAcentral.